GCAACCUCCUGUACAGGGGUAAAAAAAAAAAAAAUGAGAGCAUAAUUCACAUGGACGUCAUUGAGUGGUAGAAUGGGACGAGAACAAAAAAUUGUCAUGCAGCUUGCUAACAAGCUACUCUCAGAAAAAAAAGACUACCAGAGAGCCUCUUACCUGAAAGCUACUGAAUUUUUUUAAACCCUUUGUUUAUUCUUCUUUGUGUUUAGAUCUUGACCGUAAUACUAAAAAAUCCUGUCUUUAAUCUUUCUCCUGUGUAAACUCACGUUUACAUAAAAACAAACUUGUAGUUGUACACCGUAACAUCAACA
Molecule: unclassified non-coding RNA, 308 nt
Filed under: Hevea brasiliensis (rubber tree)
Lineage: Eukaryota; Viridiplantae; Streptophyta; Magnoliopsida; Malpighiales; Euphorbiaceae
Source: RNAcentral